GACGAACGCUGGCGGCGUGCUUAACACAUGCAAGUCGAACGGAAAGGCCCUGCUUUUGUGGGGUGCUCGAGUGGCGAACGGGUGAGUAACACGUGAGUAACCUGCCCUUGACUUUGGGAUAACUUCAGGAAACUGGGGCUAAUACCGGAUAGGAGCUCCUGCUGCAUGGUGGGGGGUGGAAAGUUUCGGCGGUUGGGGAUGGACUCGCGGCUUAUCGGCUUGUUGGUGGGGUAGUGGCUUACCAAGGAUUUGACGGGUAGCCGGCCUGGGAGGGUGACCGGGCACAUGGGGACUGAGAUACGGCCCAGACUCCUACGUGAGGCAGCAGUGGGGAAUAUUGCACAAUGGGCGGAAGCCUGAUGCAGCAACGCCGCGUGCGGGAUGACGGCCUUCGGGUUGUAAACCGCUUUCGCCUGUGACGAAGCGUGAGUGACGGUAAUGGGUAAAGAAGCACCGGCUAACUACGUG
This 468-nucleotide ribosomal RNA is filed under the name uncultured bacterium. RNAcentral describes it as "partial 16S ribosomal RNA". It matches the Rfam family "Bacterial small subunit ribosomal RNA", at positions 28 to 507 of the family's 1533-position model. The record is from RNAcentral.